UGAGAUUCCAGAUUCUCAGGAUGAACAGUUUUCAGGACGAGUCCAGAGUGACAAAGACGUCCUCAGAGAAGGACGAAUCAGACUCCAUGUGUCCAGACUGAGGACUGAAGACUCUGGUCUGUAUCUGUGUGACGUGAAAACUGAAGAUGGUUUCAACUCUGGAAGAUGUCGACUCAGCGUUACUGCAGCUGCUGAUCAGAUCCAAACUCAGAGAAAAACUUUGACUCCAGAACCAAAGAUAGGAGGAUGGAGUAUCCUCUUCAUCACUCUGGGACUGAUAGCAGCUCUACUGGUUCUAUUAAUAAAUAAUAAUAAUAAUAAUAAUGUUGAUUAUUUGUUUUAGGAUGAAAAGAAAGAAUCAUUUUGAAUCAAGUGUAGAUGAACUAUAUAACCAACACAUAUAACGGGUUUGUUCGCUAUAGUUUAGUUUAAAACUAAUUUUGCCUCACAGAAAAAUAUCAGAUUUGUUUCCAUCUAUUCUGAUUAACAUGUUAGAUCAUCAUGAAUGAAUGUUUUGUUAUACUAACAACAUUGAGUCAUUUAUUGUUGUUGAUUUAGAAAUUUUAAAUAAUUUUUAAAGGUUUCUGGACUCAGUCAGAAGUAUUGAUCAAUUAUUGUGUCUGAUAACUGAUCAAUGAUUCAGUUAUCAGACUGAAUCAUUGAUCAGACAUUGGUUUAUUGACCAUCAGUCAUUUUGUGGUUGUUCACACCAUCACUGUGACCAAAGUGAUGAAUUUGUUACAUUUACAUUCAUGUUUUUUAAAUAAUGUUUUAUUGUUGAGUUAUGAAGAUUUAAAAUCUGUUAUUUUCACAGAAAUAUUUUUAACAAACACUUUUAUAAAUAUGUUGUGAAACAAAACAUCUAAAGAUUUUGACGAUUUUGUUAUAAAAAUAUUUUUCCUAUUUUUAGGUUAAAUCAAAGGAUUAACUUUAAAGUGAUGAUUUUUAUACAUUACAUUUAUUUUAGAAAUCAACACAACAUUAUGACAUAAAAGUGUUUAUACUUUUCUUUAACAUAAAUCUUUACUCAGUGUUAGUUUAUUGUUUCUUUAUUGAAAUGUUAUAAAUAUGAAUGUUGCCAUUUCAUUACAACAUUGUUACAUUUUCAAUGGGUUCAAAGUUUUUUCUUUUAACUUAAUGUUUCAACUCAAAGUGUCUCAUAAUAUCAUAUUUUGAUCAAAUGUAUUUUUGUGAAUCUGUGAAUGUUUCUGGUUUUAUAUCAUGUAAUAUGUGUGAUUGUGUUGCUGUGAACUGCUGAACCGAGUUUAUCUUUUGGGAAAAUUAAGUAUUGUGAAGUGCAGAAGCUGAAGUUUAAUAAAUAUAAUUAAUGUGAUUUAAAGAAGAUUAAUUUAGUGCAAUAAAAUAAGAGCCUGUCUGUGUCAUUGUUCUGCUGCAGGAAGAUAAAAUGUACGACAUUCACUGUGUUGUGAUAGAA
Xiphophorus hellerii (green swordtail) is the source of this 1435-nucleotide long non-coding RNA. RefSeq lists it as uncharacterized. The transcript is spliced from 2 exons. The record is from RefSeq and is a predicted model, not a curated record. NCBI's taxonomy places the organism in Eukaryota, Metazoa, Chordata, Actinopteri, Cyprinodontiformes, Poeciliidae.